GACGAACGCUGGCGGCGUGCCUAAUACAUGCAAGUCGAACGCAGUGGGGACGGGUGAGUAACACGUGGGUAACCUCCCAUCAGAGGGGAUAACACUUGGAAACAGGUGCUAAACCGAUACUGAUGGAUGAACCCGCGGUGCAUUAGCUAGUUGGUGAGGUAACGGCUCACCAAGGCCACGAUGCAUAGACCACCAGAAGGUGUGUGCGGCCACACUGGAACUGCUGCAAGGCCCUGACUCCUACGAGAGGCAGCAGUAGGGAAUCUUCGGCGAUAGACGAAAGUCUGACCGAGCACCGACGCGUGAGUGAAGAAGGUUUUCGGAUCGUGAAACUCUGUUGUUAGAGAAGCGGUAUCUAACCAGAAAGCCACGGCUAACUACGUGCCAGCAGCCGCGGUAAUUC
This 403-nucleotide ribosomal RNA is filed under the name uncultured bacterium. RNAcentral describes it as "partial 16S ribosomal RNA". It matches the Rfam family "Bacterial small subunit ribosomal RNA", at positions 28 to 526 of the family's 1533-position model. The record is from RNAcentral.